GUAAACGUGAUACUUACUCACUGCAAUAGACUGCUGUGAACCAUAUUCCAGCAGCAACCUUUGAAAUCCAUCACUUGACUGCACACAAGUGUGGUCUAAAAGGGACUUGUUGGAGACAUGUUUCUUUCCAGAAUGCCACCUACCUCGAUUCUUUAACUUUUCUCUCUGAAUUUACAUGGCUUUCUGGUUUAGCAUUGCAUAUCCAAGACACACAAGAAAUUUGAGAUAUUCAGUCCAAGGUAAAUUAAGGGAAUGUGAUUAUCAGGACUUUGAAAGACCCAGUAGUCACCAGCUAAAAUGUACCACAAAAAGAACCCAGCUACGACAACAAGGGAAGUCCCUGAAAAAGGCUGGAAGCAAAAUGACCAUAAUUGAAAUCUGAAAGCAGCAACUUCAUAGAGAAGUAAACGAAGAGGCGGCUCUUUGUAAAUGAUGAUCUAAAAAGUGUUCUGGGUUGUAAGACCUCAUUUCAAAUGUAUUCAUUAAAUAAUAUUUGAAUCAUUUAACAGUUUGAACUCUACUGCACUGCUAAUAUCUUCAGGGGAUUUUUUUUUUUCAGUAACAAAGACGCCUUUGUUCCCUGCUCAGUGCUUGGGCUGUGCCUUGGAUAUUAGCUGGAAACCUGAUCGCCCGACAUCGCUCCGAGGCUGCGAGUACAAUGUGAGUCGUCUGCAACCGGGAUUAAAUCAGGCCCUUUGUAGGGAUGCUGAGGAGCCGUGAUGAUGGUUAUGGACAGCAGGAGGUCGUUAACCCUUUGUGCCUCCGGCGGGGAGAUGGGAGGUUUGGGG
RNAcentral lists this long non-coding RNA (788 nucleotides) under Manacus vitellinus (golden-collared manakin). Its description in RNAcentral is "lncRNA (ENSMVIG00005015007.1)". The record is from RNAcentral. Lineage: Eukaryota; Metazoa; Chordata; Aves; Passeriformes; Pipridae.